This 87-nucleotide small RNA is filed under the name Arenibacter nanhaiticus. RNAcentral's name for it is "Arenibacter sp. NH36A Flavo-1 RNA". It matches the Rfam family "Flavo-1 RNA". Lineage: Bacteria; Pseudomonadati; Bacteroidota; Flavobacteriia; Flavobacteriales; Flavobacteriaceae. The record is from Rfam by way of RNAcentral.
UAUUUUCCGUGCGGUCCUAUUGCAGCGGCAUCCUUUUUUAGUGCGCUUGGCGGGCUAAAAAAGAUACAGCGGAAAGAGCGACCCGAU